Molecule: long non-coding RNA, 1199 nt
Organism: Capra hircus (goat)
Lineage: Eukaryota; Metazoa; Chordata; Mammalia; Artiodactyla; Bovidae
Exons: 4
Source: RefSeq, a predicted model, not a curated record
UCUUUCUGUCAAAGCAUUGCCUCCUAAGAACCUUUGUAAAAGUGCCAAAGUACCUACUCUCUUACUCUUAAGUUGAAGACCAGGUUAUUAGAAACCCAGAGAACAUUUUGCUACUCACUUGACUAAUAGGGAAAAAAGAAAAAUAUAUCUUCCCUACACAUUAAAGGAAACAAUAGUUUCUAUUGGGGAACUACUCCUAUUUCCUUGUAGAGAGGCAAGCAUCUGAAUAGAUUCUGAAGCAUCCUGCAUGGGAUGAAGUAAUUCUUCAGUGUUCUUUAUGGGAUGGGCUGAAAAGUGUGAACUACAGCAGCCAUAAAGGGAGGAACACUUCCCUCAAAUUGGCUUCAACUGCAGAAGAUAGUAUGGAAAGAAUGUGAAAGAAAGAACAUCUGCUUCCGGUCUGCCCUUUUAGCACUGAAAUGAAAUUCACCAGCGUACAAUGAACCAUUUUCUAGUUUGCAGUUCAGUAGCAUUUAGCGCAGUCUUAAUAUUAUGCUCCAACCACCUGUCUCUAGUUUCAAAACAUUUUUAUCUUCCCAGGAAAAUCUCCGUCUCCUUCCAGGAAUCACUCUUCACCCCCUCCCUCAGCCCGCUGGUGACCACUAAUCUGCUUUCCGUCUAUGGAUUUGCCUGUUCUGGGACGUGUCAUAAAAAAGAUGAAUGCCAGAUUGUGACCUUUUGUGUGUGGCUUCUUUUACUUAGCAUAAUAUUUAGAGGUUCAUUCAAGUUGUAACUUAGAUCAGAACUUCAUUCCUUUUUCAUGGCUGAAUGAUAUUCCAUGAAACUUAAGUUUAUAGAACUCUUCAUGGAGCUUACACAAAAAUUUUGGAGCUUAUGCACGCAAAGAAAAGACUUUUAGGUACCUUCUUCAGAGUUGCCUUUUAUGGCCCAUCUUUUUUGAAGAAGAGGACUGAAAGGAGUACAUCUAUAAAGAGCCAAAGCUCAUCAGCCUCUCAGAGAUUUUCCUGAGACUUGUUAAACUUUAUGGUAAAAAAUUUGGUACAGAGAAUGUCAAAAUAAUUCAGGAUUCAGACAAGGAAGUUCAUCCAAGCAUGCAGCAUUGCACUGGAACUAAAUGAAUGGUUAAUGAAAGAGGAUCAGAUUGAAUACCAUGAAGAGCUCACGUCAAAUUUCGAAGACAUGGUGAAAGAAUUGUCUGACGUUAUUUAUGAUCAGGCAAGUAUUAGAGUGAAUGAAAA